GGGUCUAGUUCAUAAGAUCUCUUCAGGGCCUUUCCUACAUUUAAUGGUAUUUUUUCUUCUCCUGUUUUUCAAGAUCAUCUCCUCUAUCAGUACACAAAUCCAAUAACAGGAAGCCUGUGGCUUUACCAACCAGAAGCAAGACGACAAAAGAUCAGUGAAAUCCAAGACUUCCAGAAGAAAGACAUAUAUAAUAAGAUCAAAGAAAAACUACACCAAGCAGCACUUCUUGAGGGGAGCAGGAGAGAUGUGGCAUGGGAAAAGAGACUACAACAAACAGAAUUACGGUUUUUACUGCUGACAGCACUGCCAGACCAGCAUCGGUAGCUGUGGCAAAUCAAGAGGCAUCUUAUUCUGCUUCAUGUACCAUGAACAAAACUGAUAGCUAAAAUUCUGUUUCCAGAAUCCUUACAGUAUGACACUGGCAGCACUUAGUGUCGAUUUGUACCACUGGCCCCUCACUUUGGGCAAUGACAUCGGUUUUCUUCAUGUCAGCAUUUGAAGAUGGACAGUAUUUUAUAUCCUCUGUCCCACAUAUGGG
This is a long non-coding RNA of Mauremys reevesii (Reeves's turtle), 538 nucleotides long. RefSeq lists it as uncharacterized. The transcript has 4 exons. The record is from RefSeq and is a predicted model, not a curated record. Lineage: Eukaryota; Metazoa; Chordata; Testudines; Geoemydidae.